RNAcentral lists this ribosomal RNA (253 nucleotides) under uncultured bacterium. Its description in RNAcentral is "partial 16S ribosomal RNA". It matches the Rfam family "Bacterial small subunit ribosomal RNA", at positions 524 to 776 of the family's 1533-position model. The record is from RNAcentral.
UACGUAGGGGGCUAGCGUUGUCCGGAAUCAUUGGGCGUAAAGCGCGUGUAGGCGGUUCGGAAAGUCCGCUGUGAAAGUCGGGGGCUCAACCCUCGAAAGCCGGUGGAUACUGUCGGGCUAGAGUACGGAAGAGGCGAGUGGAAUUCCUGGUGUAGCGGUGAAAUGCGCAGAUAUCAGGAGGAACACCAAUUGCGAAGGCAGCUCGCUGGGACGUUACUGACGCUGAGACGCGAAAGCGUGGGGAGCAAACAGG